CAGGCCUGCCUCACACAGUUUAACUUCAGACAGACAAACAGGUCUCUGCAGACCUAUUUAAAACACAGUGCAGAGAAAAAUCUAGUCCUUUCAGUUAGAUGGCUGCCUACCCUCCUAGUGCUUGUUUUUGACUCUCCUGCCUUCUCCUCUCUCUCUUACACAAUGAAUACUGGGGAACAAAAAGUGGAGCCAAAGCAAAUGUCAACUUAGACCAAGAGUUUGGCAUGGAAGACUUGACAGUGAGGCUUCUGAAUUUGUGAGCAAACACCUACCAGAUUUUCAAAAGCACUGGUGGGAUGCCUGCUACCUCAGCCUACAAACAAGCCCAGCCUUGAGAUGAGGAACCUGGUCCCCAUCACUGGGGCAAUGCUACAUCACUUCCUUAGGAGAUCAGUAGUGGAGAGUAGGCACCCACUUCAUGAGCUAGAGGAUAUAUAUGAGCUCCAAAUUGUUAACUCCAGAGAUGAAAGUCAGUGAGAACAGGCACAAUAUGAACAGUAAGCAGAGAGACCAAAUAAGAAAUUGCCUACGAGGGUGCCAGCUGGUGGAAGAACUUUUGGUAGUUUGGACAUUUGAGCUAACAUUUCCAAAUUGUUUCCUAUCUAGCACUAAAUGGCAUUAUUUGCGUAAUAAACUGGAAUCCAAAC
Long non-coding RNA from Pezoporus occidentalis (night parrot), 647 nucleotides. RefSeq lists it as uncharacterized. Lineage: Eukaryota; Metazoa; Chordata; Aves; Psittaciformes; Psittacidae. The transcript is spliced from 2 exons. The record is from RefSeq and is a predicted model, not a curated record.